Molecule: unclassified non-coding RNA, 348 nt
Filed under: soil metagenome
Description: partial contains 5.8S ribosomal RNA, internal transcribed spacer 2, and large subunit ribosomal RNA
Rfam family: 5.8S ribosomal RNA (bases 1-120)
Source: RNAcentral
GAUGAAGAACGUAGCGAAAUGCGAUACGUAAUGUGAAUUGCAGAAUUCAGUGAAUCAUCGAGUCUUUGAACGCACAUUGCGCCCCCUGGUAUUCCGGGGGGCAUGCCUGUCCGAGCGUCAUUGCUGCCCUCAAGCACGGCUUGUGUGUUGGGCCCCGCCCCCCGGCUCCCGGGGGGCGGGCCCGAAAGGCAGCGGCGGCACCGCGUCCGGUCCUCGAGCGUAUGGGGCUUCGUCACCCGCUCCGUAGGCCCGGCCGGCGCCCGCCGGCGACCCCCCUCAAUCUUUUCACGUUGACCUCGGAUCAGGUAGGGAUACCCGCUGAACUUAAGAAUAUCAAUAAGCGGAGGA